UAAGUCGGAGGUGAAAUCCCAGAGCUCAACUGUGGAACUGCCUUUGAUACUGGUAGUCUUGAGUUAUAGUGAAGUAGAUAGAAUAUGUAGUGUAGCGGUGAAAUGCAUAGAUAUUACAUAGAAUACCGAUUGCGAAGGCAGUAUACUAACUGUAUACUGACGCUGAUGGACGAAAGCGUGGGGAGCGAACAGGAUUAGAUACCCUGGUAGUCCACGCCGUAAACGAUGGUCACUAGUUGUUGGGGUUUUG
Molecule: ribosomal RNA, 250 nt
Filed under: uncultured Bacteroidota bacterium
Lineage: Bacteria; Pseudomonadati; Bacteroidota
Description: uncultured Bacteroidetes bacterium partial 16S ribosomal RNA
Rfam family: Bacterial small subunit ribosomal RNA
Source: RNAcentral